UACCUGUUCUGAACAGCAGAGGCAAGC
Molecule: non-coding RNA, 27 nt
Filed under: Mus musculus (house mouse)
Lineage: Eukaryota; Metazoa; Chordata; Mammalia; Rodentia; Muridae
Source: RNAcentral